GGUCAGAUGGCCGAGCUGGUCUAAGGCGUUCGACUCAAGUUGCUUAUGUAAGCGAUUAGAAUUCGAAUCUCGUAAGAGGCGUGGGUUCGAAUCCCACUCUGACCA
Molecule: non-coding RNA, 105 nt
Organism: Borealophlyctis nickersoniae
Lineage: Eukaryota; Fungi; Chytridiomycota; Chytridiomycetes; Rhizophlyctidales; Borealophlyctidaceae
Source: the annotation of a GenBank genome assembly